AUUGAACGCUGGCGGCAGGCCUAACACAUGCAAGUCGAACGAGUGGCGGACGGGUGAGUAAUGUAUGGGAAACUGCCUGAUGGAGGGGGAUAACUACUGGAACAGGUAGCUAAUACCGAAUACCCUCGGAUGUGCCCAGAUGGGAUUAGCUUGGUGGUGGGGUAACGGCUCACCACGGCGACGAUCCCUAGCUGGUCUGAGAGGAUGGCCAGCCACACUGGACCUGAGACACGGCCCAGACUCCUACGGGAGGCAGCAGUGGGGAACAUUGCACAAUGGGAGCAAGCCUGAUGCAGCCAUGCCGCGUGUAUGAAGAAGGCCUUCGGUUUGUAAAGUACUUUCAGCGGGGAGGCGUUACCCGCAGAAGAAGCACCGGCUAACUCCGUGCCAGCAGCCGCGGUAAUUC
This 406-nucleotide ribosomal RNA is filed under the name uncultured bacterium. RNAcentral describes it as "partial 16S ribosomal RNA". It matches the Rfam family "Bacterial small subunit ribosomal RNA", at positions 30 to 526 of the family's 1533-position model. The record is from RNAcentral.